GGGAACCUCAGGUCAGGCGGG
RNAcentral lists this ribosomal RNA (21 nucleotides) under Argyrolobium harmsianum. Its description in RNAcentral is "partial 26S ribosomal RNA". The record is from RNAcentral. Lineage: Eukaryota; Viridiplantae; Streptophyta; Magnoliopsida; Fabales; Fabaceae.